UCUAACAAAAUUUACCAUUUUAACCAUUUAAAAUUACAAUUUUGUGAGGUUAAGUACAUGCACAUUGUUCUGUAACGGUCUCCAGCAGUCACCUCCAGAACUUUGGCACCUUCCCAAGCUCUUACCUGUUGAAGAGUAACCCCGCCCGUAUCACCAUUCUGCUUUCCGUCUCAGUGAAUUUGACUAAGUGCCUCAUACAAGUGGGAUAACACAGCAUUUGUCCUUUUGUGUCUGGCUUGUUUCACUUAGGGGUGAUUUGAUUGUUUCCACUUAUUUGCUGUUACAUCAAAUGCCUACAGGAGUUAUCCACUUGUGAACCUGAAGAAAAAUAUCUUUACCAAGAGCUUGUGCAGCUUCAACUUUACCAGGAGAACUCGGCCGCCUUCCAGCCCCGGCCGCCAAGAAUCUUCUGGGCUUCUUUAGAAGGCGCUGGCUCGCCCCACGCCUGUUCUCUCCCGGGCUCAGUUUCCCUCCCCUAACCCUACCGGGCCUCCCCGCCAGCUCCCGCCCUGCCGUCGGAAGAGUUCGCGCGCCCUCCCAGAGUAUCCGCAGGCAGGCCGGCCGGCCGGCCUCUUCUGGGAGGAUCUGGCUGCUUCCUUUGAAGUUUGAGGGUGGGGUCGGAGCGCCUCCGUUAGCCUUGAAUCUCCCCUCCCGCGACGAAACAGCUCCUCAGGGCUGCCUGUCUUCAGAGACUUUGGCAGGCCCCUCUAGAAUUUGCCCAGGUGAAGGGCAAGGCUUCAGAGGUGAGAGUAAGCUUGCCAGGCCUCCCCUCCUUUUGAGCCUGGAAUGGUUGUUUGCUUCCUUUAAAAUAAUAAGCUGUAAGCCCUUUAGGAACACUUGUGAAACGUGGGAAUUUAAUUUCAGCCUUUUCUUAAUUAGCAAUAGUGCCUUGCUCCUCCUUCUCCCAGAAGCAGGGAAACUUCCUUAAAAUCUCAGUUUAUAGGCAAACAGGUUAGAACGUGUGAAUUUCUCGGAGUUGGCGAAGUUGCAGUGUAAGUUUUCUUUAAGAGGCCAUCUCUGACAAGCUUGAGGCUCCUCCUCUGCAGAAAUGGGUUGGAAACUGAGGUGCUUGAGUACAUUAGGUGAGCUGAACAUAAAUCCUCCCAGUUAUUAGCAGGGUGUGCUUUCCAUUUUUGCUGAGAACUGACCUGUCUGUCGGGGUUAAAUGAGAUGAUGCAUGAGCACUGAGCACAGUGCCUGACUCAUAGUCAACACUCAGCAAAUAUUAGCUGCUGUUAUAUCACAAGAUGCAAUUGGAAUUGAAAUAUAGUUUGCUGCUAAAGAUGAACGAUCUUAAUCGGGGUAAAAACUAAAUGAUUGAUUGUUUUAAAUAAAUGUGAAAAAAGCUUAAAACCUAAUUACUUUGUGAUGAUCCUACAGAUUCAGUUUCAGAGCAGACUUCUGUUGAGGUUGAACAGAAGGCCCAGGUUCAUGGUCUAUCUCAUAGGACCUGGAGGUCAUUACCCACAGCUUGAUGAUUGAGUGUUGAGUUUUAUUUGUUUGGCUCUAUGAUCUCUGAUUCGUCAGUAGUGGGAUUUGGCAUUCCUUUGUCUGAGGCUUUGGUUAGCAUCUGAUAAUACAUGUAGCAUUUGUCAACUAACAAGUUUGUUAAAUGUCCUAAGCCUUUACUGAACAUCCCAGAUUGAAUAAAACUUUAACUUGUUUUGUGGCUGCAUCUUGUGCCUUGCCAGAUCUUAGUUCCCCGACCAGGGACUGAACCCUUACCCUCAGCAGUGAAAGCAUGGAGUCUU
Bubalus bubalis (water buffalo) is the source of this 1751-nucleotide long non-coding RNA. RefSeq lists it as uncharacterized. The transcript is spliced from 3 exons. The record is from RefSeq and is a predicted model, not a curated record. Lineage: Eukaryota; Metazoa; Chordata; Mammalia; Artiodactyla; Bovidae.